AAGUCGUAACAAGGUUUCCGUAGGUGAACCUGCGGAAGGAUCAUUAAACUUAUAUCACGGGGGGCCGGCCGACAAAGUAACCUUUGCACCCGCCCCUGUCUGACAUAUACCCAUGUCCUUUGCGUACAACUUGUUUUCCUGGGGGGGCUUGCCCCCCAUUAGGAUCAUCAACCAACCCUUUUGUAAUUGCAGUCAGCGUCAGAAAAUCAUAUAAUUAUUACAA
RNAcentral lists this unclassified non-coding RNA (223 nucleotides) under plant metagenome. RNAcentral's name for it is "partial contains small subunit ribosomal RNA and internal transcribed spacer 1". The stretch from base 1 to 46 matches the Rfam family "Eukaryotic small subunit ribosomal RNA", at positions 1786 to 1831 of the family's 1831-position model. The record is from RNAcentral.